AUGGUGUGCCCUAGCAAGAUCCAUGUCCCUCCACCUCCAGGAGAGCCCUUCUCUGAUGGAGCUGCCAGGCAAGCAGCACCAGGGAGGGCUAGCGAGCAGGGAGCUCACAGUCUGGGCACCCCUCAGUUUGAUGCAGGAUCCCAAGAGGAAACUGAGUCCCACACUCUGUGGAAGCCUCAGUCUUAUGGCUCAAUUGCCUCCCUUGGCAACCAUGGCAUCUUGCUCAUGAGCCACCUACAGGACAUCAUUCAGCAUACAGACCCUCCAGUGCAGAUCCUGUACCACCACAGCAUAAUGCAGCUGGCCAUCUGUGCCUUCCAAAAAGGCUUGACCCAGGAUGCACACAAGGCCCUGCCAGGCAUGCAGUCGAGUGGCUGGGCCAACCAGCUUCUGCUACUGUGUAGCCUCCAGGAAUGCAACCAGGAGCAGCAGAAGGUGUAAUGGCACCGGGAGGUUCUCUUCCACCUAAACAUCAACCUGGAUCUUCCGGUGUGUAUCUAUCUGGUGUCCACUGUACUCCUGGAGAUCCCCUACAUUGCUUUCCAUGAGAGUAAUGCCCACCAUCACAUGAUCAGCAAGCAGUCCCAUCACUAGCUGUGGGUGGGCGAGUGACAGCUCUUGCUGGGUCCUGUUAGUCUCCCUGAGUCAAUGAGAGAACAUGUGGUCACAGCCUCCAAGGUUACAAAUAAAGGUGACUGGAAGACCUGCCACAGUUUUAUCACCAAGCAGAAGAUGAAUGGGAAAGUGUGGGACCUUUCCUCCGAGGUUGACAAAGUCCACACCAUGCUGGUUAGGAAGAUCUAGGAAGAGUCACUGAGGACCUACCUUUUCACCUAUAGCAGUUCCUAUGACUCCAUCAGCAUGGAGACACUGUUUCACAUUUUGAGCUAGAUCUGCCCCUUGUGCACUCAAUCAUCAGCCAGAUGAUCAUCAAUGAGGAGUUGAUGGCCUCCCUGGACCAGCCAACACAGACAGAGUUGAUGCACCAUACUGAGCCCACUGCCCAGCAGAGCUUGGCUCUGCAGCUGGCUGAGAAACUGGGUGUUUGACCACAAGCAGGGUACCUAUAGCCUUUACCUCCGAGACCAGAAGGAUUGUUACCACAAAAAUGAGGGCUACAUGUGCCGUGCUGGCUGCGGCCAGUAGAAGUCUCACACAGCCUACUGA
RNA transcript from Propithecus coquereli (Coquerel's sifaka), 1167 nucleotides. It is a transcript of the gene named eukaryotic translation initiation factor 3 subunit C pseudogene, with no coding region annotated. NCBI's taxonomy places the organism in Eukaryota, Metazoa, Chordata, Mammalia, Primates, Indriidae. The record is from RefSeq and is a predicted model, not a curated record. The transcript is spliced from 3 exons.